RNAcentral lists this ribosomal RNA (253 nucleotides) under uncultured bacterium. RNAcentral's name for it is "partial 16S ribosomal RNA". It matches the Rfam family "Bacterial small subunit ribosomal RNA", at positions 524 to 776 of the family's 1533-position model. The record is from RNAcentral.
UACAGAGGGUGCAAGCGUUGUUCGGAAUUACUGGGCGUAAAGCGCGUGUAGGCGGCUUAUUAAGUCGGACGUGAAAUCCCUUGGCUCAACCAAGGAACUGCGUCCGAUACUGGUUAGCUUGAGUGUCGGAGGGGGUGGCGGAAUUCCCGGUGUAGAGGUGAAAUUCGUAGAUAUCGGGAGGAACACCUGUGGCGAAGGCGGCCACCUGGAAGACAACUGACGCUGAGACGCGAAAGCGUGGGGAGCAAACAGG